AGUGAACGCUGGCGGUAGGCCUAACACAUGCAAGUCGAACGGCAGCACAGUAAGAGCUUGCUCUUACGGGUGGCGAGUGGCGGACGGGUGAGGAAUACAUCGGAAUCUACUUUUUCGUGGGGGAUAACGUAGGGAAACUUACGCUAAUACCGCAUACGACCUACGGGUGAAAGCAGGGGAUCUUCGGACCUUGCGCGAUUGAAUGAGCCGAUGUCGGAUUAGCUAGUUGGCGGGGUAAAGGCCCACCAAGGCGACGAUCCGUAGCUGGUCUGAGAGGAUGAUCGGCCACACGGGAACUGAGACGCGGCCCGGCCUCCUACGGGAGCCAGCAGUGGGGAAUUUUGGAAAAUGGGCGCAAGCCUGAACAACCCAUACCGCGUGGGUGAAGAAGGCCUGCGGGUUGUAAAGCCCUUUUGUGGGGAAAAAAAAACAGCAGGUUAAUACCCCGCUGUCCUGCCGGUACCCAAAGAAUAAGCACCGGCUAACUUCGU
RNAcentral lists this ribosomal RNA (491 nucleotides) under uncultured bacterium. Its description in RNAcentral is "partial 16S ribosomal RNA". It matches the Rfam family "Bacterial small subunit ribosomal RNA", at positions 29 to 506 of the family's 1533-position model. The record is from RNAcentral.